GAGCGAUCUGGACUUGGGGAAACUCAGGAGGGGAUGCUGUGGGACUGGGACUGAGACUGGUGCAGAGUGAAGGACUGCUUAUUCAGUCCAUGUAGGAGAGUGUGGGACAGAGGUUUUGGCCUUUA
Long non-coding RNA from Amblyraja radiata (thorny skate), 125 nucleotides. RefSeq lists it as uncharacterized. The transcript is spliced from 3 exons. The record is from RefSeq and is a predicted model, not a curated record. NCBI's taxonomy places the organism in Eukaryota, Metazoa, Chordata, Chondrichthyes, Rajiformes, Rajidae.